CAAUAGCGUAUAUUAAAGCUGUUGCGGUUAAAAAGCUCGUAGUUGGAUUUCUGUCAAGGACAACUGGUCCGCCCUCCGGGUGAGCACAUAGUUUGGUCUUGGCAUCUUGCUGGAAACUGUUGCUGCGCUUGGUUGUGUGGUGCAGCUUUCAGCACUUUCACUUUGAGGAAAUUGGAGUGUUUCAAGCAGGCACAUGCCUUUGGACACAGCAGCAUGGAAUAAUUAGAUUGGGCUUUUGCUCCAACUUGUUGGUUCCUGGAGCUGAGGUGAGAAUCAAUGGGGAUUGUUGGGGGCAUCCGAAUUUAGCCGUCAGAGGUGAAAUUCUUGGAUCUGCUAAAGACGGACAACUGCGAAAGCGUUUGCCCAGGAUGUUUUCAUUGA
Molecule: ribosomal RNA, 381 nt
Filed under: uncultured eukaryote
Lineage: Eukaryota
Description: partial 18S ribosomal RNA
Rfam family: Eukaryotic small subunit ribosomal RNA
Source: RNAcentral